GAUGAACGCUGACAGAAUGCUUAACACAUGCAAGUCAACUUGAAUUUGGGUUUUUAACUUGGGUUUGGGUGGCGGACGGGUGAGUAACGCGUAAAGAACUUGCCUCACAGCUAGGGACAACAUUUGGAAACGAAUGCUAAUACCUAAUAUUAUGAUAAUAGGGCAUCCUAUAAUUAUGAAAGCUAUAAGCGCUGUGAGAGAGCUUUGCGUCCCAUUAGCUAGUUGGAGAGGUAACGGCUCACCAAGGCGAUGAUGGGUAGCCGGCCUGAGAGGGUGAUCGGCCACAAGGGGACUGAGACACGGCCCUUACUCCUACGGGAGGCAGCAGUGGGGAAUAUUGGACAAUGGACCGAGAGUCUGAUCCAGCAAUUCUGUGUGCACGAUGAAGUUUUUCGGAAUGUAAAGUGCUUUCAGUUGGGAAGAAACAAAUGACGGUACCAACAGAAGAAGUGACGGCUAAAUACGUG
RNAcentral lists this ribosomal RNA (467 nucleotides) under uncultured bacterium. RNAcentral's name for it is "partial 16S ribosomal RNA". It matches the Rfam family "Bacterial small subunit ribosomal RNA", at positions 28 to 507 of the family's 1533-position model. The record is from RNAcentral.